Long non-coding RNA from Columba livia (rock pigeon), 1697 nucleotides. RefSeq lists it as uncharacterized. The transcript has 4 exons. NCBI's taxonomy places the organism in Eukaryota, Metazoa, Chordata, Aves, Columbiformes, Columbidae. The record is from RefSeq and is a predicted model, not a curated record.
GGGACCAGUAAGGCGGAGGUUGUGGGUGGGAUGGUCCCGGCCACUCGCUGGCCUGACUCUGGGAGAGGAGGCUCUGGCUUCCCUUGCCACGCUUCCCUGCUCUGCAAGGAACUCCAUAGUGGUGAACGCCCCCUUCUGCCACAACAGCAAAGCUGAAAACCUUUGUGUCAUUUUUACUCUUGUCAAUGCACUGCAACCUGUUUGGAAUGGAAAAGUUUGCAAAGGUCACUUAUUUUCAUAACAGGUGAGGAAGCCGUGGAUGAGGUGGUAGGAACGUGCCUGCCAAAUCACAGAAUCACAGGAUGGUUGGAAUGAGAAGAGACCUCUGGAGAUCCUCCAGUCCAACUCACCUGCUAAAGCAGAGUCACCAAGAGCAGAUCACACAGGAUCGCGUCCAGCAAAGCAAAGCCAGAAGGGGACCCAAGAGGAGCCCAGGAGCUGUGAACCCAUCACGUGCUGGGUGUCCCUUGAGCAGUGGAUGCUGUGUGUGUGGGUGCUGGCUCAGCCUGGGACCCUGCACCAGGCAAGAAGCAUCUCGCUGUCUGGUCAUGGUGACAACAAUGGAGGCAGAUAAAAGAUGUCAUGACGUUUUCUGUCUCCUGAUAUUUGGUCAGGAGUGUCCAGGAGAGAAAUAGGCUCUAGAAGUAUUUUGAGGGGGGCCUUUCUAGAUCCUAGCACUUGUAUCAUUGUCAAGAGUAAGAGUAAAAUUCAGAAAAGAAAAGAUGGCAAAGGAAACAAAAAAACAUUUUCUACAUUGCAUUGCUUGUAGCUUGCUAGAGCUCCUCCCUCUUUAUCUCUUUAUCAAGAAAUCUAGGUUGCAUGCAUUUUUUUUUAAAUGUUGCUUUCAUCUACUAGCAAGAAAACUUGGGAGUAACGUUGUCUUAUCUUUUUUUUUUUUAAUUAAUUAGAAAAUAUAUAACCAAGCAGUAUAAAACAGCCAAGAAUGUCAUCUCUCAAAUAUCACAGACUUUAAUAAAAAUAGGAGUGUCAUCAUUCAUGACCAUGCGAUGUUUACAGCUGCUGCUUCUAAAGUGCAUUGUGUUUCAGCAUCCACCUUGGCUUGUCUUCAUUCUUGCUUUAACCUCAGUGACUUUGGCACAGUUAUUUCAGUGUUGAACUUCGCCCAUUUUAUCUUCUGCAGAAUAUGAAGUCCGCUGCUUUCUUAUCAAAUAUGAAUCUGUGCACAACUGGGCAACAUAAUGCUAAUGGAAUCGAUACAGCAAAAAAGAUCUCACAACCCCUCUGUACUUUUUACAAUUUACUUUGUUCGUCACCCAUUAAUUCUUAUAUUGAUUUUGCUAUAAAAUACAACUGCAUUCCUAUCACAGCCCAAGAAAAAAGCACAUUGAUUAUAUUGGAACAAGGUAUGUUGUAAAAAUGAAAUGCCUAAAACAUUUAAAUGUAGUAAGCUCUGCUAAAGUACAUAAAUCACAUUGUUUAAUGUUGUAAAUGAGUGGUGCUGGCUUAAACAAGGGAAAAAUAUGGUGCCAUAAAGCAAUUUUGACACAAAAUAACAGUCUCUGUUUCUCUGUACCUGUCAUUUUAGAAAUGCUAUCAAGAAUGGUUACGGUUGUUUGCAAGUGGGAGGGGGGAAAUGUUCUCAGUAUCCCUUUUAAAAAGUUCCUUCAAAGUCACUUUGUGAAAUUGACAACAGUGGUGUUAUACCUCGCUAUAAAUAAAACCUGAUUAUUACUGUG